GAGACAAUUUAAGCCAACCAAUCAAUCAUUCUUAAUAGGCUCAAAAUCAAAAGAAAUGAAUUAUAUUUGAAUGAAAGUGUUAGUUUGCCCAGAAACAGGAUACCACAGUAUUUCCUGGCUACUUUGGCUAUUUACCUGCCUCUGAGGAAACUCAAGACUCUAUCCCUGGCAUCCUGGAAACUGAGUCAGAUUUCAUUGUUCUUGUUUAGGGCAAGGUCACUAUGCUGCCAAGGGCUCUAGGAGAAACUAGAGCCUAAAAUCUUCCUGCUCAUUAUUUGUCAUAGAACAUUAGUAUUCCAUUAUAUUCAAAUACCACAACUUAAACUGUCAUUCCCCAAUUGGGUAUUCACUCAAUUUCCAAUUCCACUGCCAACCAUAAAAAAGAUGCUACAAAUAAUUUUACACAUAUGGGUUGUUUCCCUAUUUUAUGAUUUUUUUAGAAUAUAGAUCCAGGAGAGAGACUGCUGGAUCAAAGGGUAUGCACAAUUUUAUAGCACUUUGAGCAUAGUUCCAAAUUGCUCUCCAGACAUCAAUUCACAACUCUACUAAUAAUACGUUAGUGUAGAGAAUAGGAGAAACUAUGUAUGUAAUUGUCUUCCCCCCCAUCUAGAGUAGAAACUACUUAAGGACAGGGACUGUCCUAUUUGCCUGAACUUGUAUCCUCAGGACUUAACAAUGCCCAGUACAUAAUGUGUAUUUAAUAAAAGCUUUUUCUGUUUUUGCACAAAUAAAACCAAAGCAGCCAAAAUUAGAAGGGAAGCAGAAAACUAGCGAACAAUUUUUAUAGUGUUUCUGAUAAAGGUCUCAUUUCUAAAAUACAUGGAGAACUGAGUCAAAUUUAUAAUAAAUCAAGUCAUUCCCAAUUGGUAAAUGGUCAAAGGAUAUAAACAAUUUUCAGAUGAUGAAAUUAAAUCUAUAUGAAAAUUGUCAUAUGAAAAAAAUCCUCUAAAUCACUAUUGAUGAGAGAAAUGCAAAUUUUAACAACUCUGAGGUACUACCUCACACCUAUCAGACUGACUAAGAUGACAGGAAAAGAUAAUGAAAAUGUUGGAGGAGGGGUGAGAACACUGGUACAAUAACGUAUUAUUAGUAGAGUUGUGAAUUGAUGUCUGGAGAGCAAUUUGGAACUAUGUUCAAAGUGCUGUAAAAUUGUGCCCACCCUUUGAUCCAGCAGUCUCUCUCCUGGAUCUAUAUUCCAAAAACAUCAUAAAAUAGGGAAACAACCCAUAUGUGUAAAAUUAUUUGUAGCAUAUUUUUUAUGGUUGGCAGUGGAAUUGGAAAUUGAGUGGAUACCCAAUUGGGGAAUGACUGUUUAAUUUGUGGUAUUUGAAUAUAAUGGAAUACUAAUGCUCUAUGACAAAUAAUGAGCAGGAAGAUUUUAG
This 1382-nucleotide long non-coding RNA is filed under the name Sarcophilus harrisii (Tasmanian devil). RNAcentral's name for it is "lncRNA (ENSSHAG00000021519.1)". Lineage: Eukaryota; Metazoa; Chordata; Mammalia; Dasyuromorphia; Dasyuridae. The record is from RNAcentral.